AGUGAACGCUGGCGGUAGGCCUAACACAUGCCAGUCGAACGGUAGCACAGUAAGAGCUUGCUCUUACGGGUGGCGAGUGGCGGACGGGUGAGGAAUACAUCGGAAUCUACUUUUUCGUGGGGGAUAACGUAGGGAAACUUACGCUAAUACCGCAUACGACCUACGGGUGAAAGCAGGGGAUCUUCGGACCUUGCGCGAUUGAAUGAGCCGAUGUCGGAUUAGCUAGUUGGCGGGGUAAAGGCCCACCAAGGCGACGAUCCGUAGCUGGUCUGAGAGGAUGAUCGGCCACACUGGAACGGAGACACGGUCCAGACUCCUACGGGAGGGAGCAGUGGGGAAUAUUGGACAAUGGGCGCAAGCCUGAUCCAGCCAUACCGCGUGGGUGAAGAAGGCGUUGGGGUUGUAAAGCCCUUUUGUUGGGAGAGAAAAGCAGCAGGUUGAUACGCCGCUGUUCUGACGGUACCCAAAGAAUAAGCACCGGCUAACUUCGUG
Molecule: ribosomal RNA, 492 nt
Filed under: uncultured bacterium
Lineage: Bacteria
Description: partial 16S ribosomal RNA
Rfam family: Bacterial small subunit ribosomal RNA
Source: RNAcentral